UCGAGAAUUUUUCUCAAUGGGCGAAAGCCUGAAGGAGCGACGCCGCGUGGGGGAUGAAUGGCUUCGGCCCGUAAACCCCUGUCAUUUGCGAACAAAUUGAUUCACCUAACACGUGUAUCAUUGAUUGUAGCGGAAGAGGAAGGGACGGCUAACUCUGUGCCAGCAGCCGCGGUAAUACAGAGGUCCCAAGCGUUGUUCGGAUUCACUGGGCGUAAAGGGUGCGUAGGCGGUCGGGUAAGUCUGAUGUGAAAUCUCACAGCUUAACUGUGAAACUGCAUUGGAUACUAUCCGGCUCGAGGAAUGGAGGGGAGACUGGAAUACUUGGUGUAGCAGUGAAAUGCGUAGAUAUCAAGUGGAACACCAGUGGCGAAGGCGAGUCUCUGGACAUUUCCUGACGCUGAGGCACGAAAGCCAGGGGAGCAAACGG
Molecule: ribosomal RNA, 427 nt
Filed under: uncultured bacterium
Lineage: Bacteria
Description: bacterial SSU rRNA
Rfam family: Bacterial small subunit ribosomal RNA
Source: RNAcentral